RNAcentral lists this ribosomal RNA (253 nucleotides) under uncultured bacterium. RNAcentral describes it as "partial 16S ribosomal RNA". It matches the Rfam family "Bacterial small subunit ribosomal RNA", at positions 524 to 776 of the family's 1533-position model. The record is from RNAcentral.
UACGCAGGGUGCAAGCAUUAAUCGGAUUUACUGGGCGUAAAGGGCGCGUAGGCGGUUAAAUGAGUGUGACGUGAAAGCCCCGGGCUCAACCUGGGAAGUGCAUCGCAAACGAUUUAACUGGAGUAGAUGAGAGGGUGGUGGAAUUUCCGGUGUAGCGGUGAAAUGCGUAGAGAUCGGAAGGAACGUCAAUGGCGAAGGCAGCCACCUGGCAUCAUACUGACGCUGAGGCGCGAAAGCGUGGGGAGCAAACAGG